AUGGUCAUGUCACAGAGCUUUGCCUCCGGCAUGAACCUAAUAUCCGGCCCCCACGUCUUCACCGUUGACAAGGCCACCGGCAACCUAACGCUGAGGUGGGCCAUCGCUGGCUCCGUCACCGUCGCCUACUUCAACAAGGGCUACAAUUCCACCUUCACCGCCAACAAGACGUUCAGCUCCCCGACGCUCAAAAAUCAAGAUGCAGAUGAACGCAUCGUCUCUCUCACCGACAACAUGCUCUCCUCCUCCGUUUCGUUGCCUACAACAGCAACUACGGCGAGAGUGGCGACAUGCUGCGCUUCGUGCGCCCGGACAUGGGCGAAAACUUCGGCGCUUACUACGGUGGUGCGUCAGUGGCACGGCGACCGAGCAGUGGUCAGCGGUGGCGGACCAGUGUGA
Molecule: ribosomal RNA, 399 nt
Filed under: Triticum aestivum (bread wheat)
Lineage: Eukaryota; Viridiplantae; Streptophyta; Magnoliopsida; Poales; Poaceae
Description: partial small subunit ribosomal RNA
Source: RNAcentral